Molecule: long non-coding RNA, 2713 nt
Organism: Peromyscus eremicus (cactus mouse)
Lineage: Eukaryota; Metazoa; Chordata; Mammalia; Rodentia; Cricetidae
Exons: 3
Source: RefSeq, a predicted model, not a curated record
UUCUCUGCUGUUGGGCUCCCACCCCAAGCUCAGCCACCCACCUCCCCUCUCAGGGCCGGGAUGGUUAACCGGCGGCCUCUCCCUCCGAGGAGGCUACGUGGGCCUGGAUCCCCGCGGGCUACACCGGGCGUGCCCGGCGCUCAACGGGGCCCAGCCCCUAGCCCGGCCAGCGCCGGGUCGGCCCGCGCUUGAGAUGCCGUAAGCCCUCUCCCCACCCCGGGGAAAAGCCCAAAGAAAGAACGGAGUAGCCCCCGUAGCCCGCGACGCUGGGGUUGUGUUCACCUCCGGCGGCUCCGGCUCGCUGCGGCUUCUCCGGCUUCUCGUCUCCCGCCUUCCCGUCCGCCAUCUUCCCCGCCGCGGCCUCCCGCUGCAGCCCGGGCAGAGACGUCACGGCCCCGCCCAGCAACCAUAAAGCUUCGGGCGGGCCAGCGAGGCCGCAGCCUAGAGAGGCCCCGGAACGGCCGCCCGGAGCGGAUGUGACGUCAUCGGCCGACUGCGGCAGGAAGUGGGUGUGAUGGUGAGGGCAGGUCUGGGUUAGUGCGGGCUGCCUGACCUCCGAACGGUUGGUGGAACCCUAGGUUUUGCCUGCUCAGGGGUGGUUGUAGCUGGUCCUUCCUUUUAGUUAUUGGGUCAUCUGUGGGGUAGGGCUGUAUCCUUACGGGGAAAAUUCAGCAGUUCCCGAACCCCGUCUCGUGCGGACACCGUUCAUGCAUGCACUACCGUUUAAUCUCCAGGACAGUCCAUUGUGAAAUUAUCCUUUUAAUUUGCGUACUGACACCGGAGAGCAGUUUAUGGGAGAUCACAUAGUAAAGCCUUAGGGAAAUGGUUGUAGAAGUUUUUCCUCGGUUUUUGCACUCGUGAAAACUUGAGUGUAGAGUUGUGGCAAGCAAGCAAACAUUGUUGGCGGUUAAGGGCGCUUGCUGCUAUUCAAGAAGAACGCAGUUCAAUUCCCAGUACCCGCGUUGGGUGGUUCACAACUGCUUAUAACUUCAGCUCCAGGGAAUCCGACAACCUCUUGAACUCCGCAAGUAUCCACACUCACUUGCACAUACCCACACACACAUAAAGUAAAAUACAUUUUUAAAAACGAUACUCUUUGAAAGGCAGGAGCUGACCUUCCUAAGGAAAGGCCUCCUGAGAAUGCUGAGGGAUCUCUAAAUAGCCAGUAUGCUUUCUCCUGGGAACAAACUUCAGAGCCUCUUCCCAGCUACCAGUGUUUUUCAGGCAGAGCAAAAUGCGGAUCAUUUGAUCUAAGCAAGGCAGAAAGAAGAGGAAAGAAGGGCAAGGCCUGCCAGAGCCAUCCAUGGACACCAUGCUCCAGGCAGCCGGAGUCCCUUCAAUAUCAAUAACCACUGAUAGUAAAAAUCAAUACUCCAAUACUAGAGGAGAGUCAGCGUUUUCAGCUUGUCAAAUUCUUAGUACGGCAAAUCAUGCUACAUUAAGGGCUUCAGAAUGCCAUUAUCUUUCUGCUCUAAGGUAAAGACUUCAACUCAAAGUAAUUGUGAAUGAUAUACAGUAGUGACAGACUGAAUAUUUGAAAGGACAAUCAAAAGGCCAGGCAUGGUGGCACACGCCUUUAAUCCUAGCAUUUGGGAGGUAAAGCAGCAGUUCUCAACCUGUGGGUUGAGUCCCCUUUGGGUGUCGAAUGACCCUUUCACAGGGGUUGCCUAAGACCAUUGGAAAAUACUGAUAUUUACAUUAUGAUUUGUAACCAUAACAAAAUUACAGUUAUGAAGUAGCAACAAAAAUAAUUUUGUGGUUAGAGGGGUCACCACAACACGAGGAACUAUAUUAAAGGGUCACAACAUGAGGAAGGUUGAGAACCAGUGAGAUGGAGGCAGGCUGAUCUCUGUGAGUUUGAGGCUAGCCUGGUAUUCAUAGUGAGUUCCAGGACAGCCAAGGCUACAUAGUAAGAGCCUGUCAAAGAAGAAGGAGGAGGAGGAGGAAUGGGAGGAGGAGAAGAAGAAGAAACAUACAAAUUUGGAUGAAAAUCUUCUACAACCUGCCCUGGUAACCAAUUCUUAUCUACAAUAAACAGCCCAGAAAAUUAUCUUGGCAUGAGGUAGACAUGUAGUAAGCCAUGUUUCUAUCUCCUGUGACAGUCCAGGAAGUGAACUAAUAAUUUCUGUCGUAACCAGUGCCAAAUGGCCAGGACAGGUUAAUAACUGAUGGCUUUACUGUUUUUUUUUUUUUUAAAUCACCCCUGUGUAUACGUGAUGUUUAUAAAUGUGAGUGUAUAAGUAUGGUCACACACAUGUAGAAAUCAGAGUACAACCUCAGGUGUUGAUCCUUAUAUUCCGAAUUGUUUGAGGUAGGGUUUCCUUGUUGCUUGCUGCUAAGUAUACCAAGUUAGAUGGUCUGUGAGCCUCUGGAGAUUCCCUUGUCUUUACCAUCCAUCUUCCAGUAGGAGCAUUGUGAUUAGAGAUGUGCACACUCACGAACUCUUAUCUACUGAACCAUCUCACCAGCCCAGCUUCACUAAUGUUUGUCCCUGUUGAUAAUCUGAGAUCAAUCUGAGAAGGGCAAAUAUAUACUCCUGCCCAAUCCCUUAGGAUGCUCCACUGCUAGUAAGUUCAUCUAGAAGACAUGCCAAAAGCCUCAUCCACACUGUAAUGCAUUUCCGCUCCUCUGCCUUUGAAUUUCAUCCAAAACAGUGGUGAUGGCCUACUUCCUGAUAUGGAAAGCUCCGAAUAAAUGAGGUUUGGUUUUCUUA